CCUACGGGUGGCUGCAGUGGGGAAUAUUGCACAAUGGGCGCAAGCCUGAUGCAGCCAUGCCGCGUGUGUGAAGAAGGCCUUCGGGUUGUAAAGCACUUUCAGCGGGGAGGAAGGCGUUAAGGUUAAUAACCUUGUCGAUUGACGUUACCCGCAGAAGAAGCACCGGCUAACUCCGUGCCAGCAGCCGCGAUAAUACGGAGGGUGCAAGCGUUAAUCGGAAUUACUGGGCGUAAAGCGCACGCAGGCGGUCUGUCAAGUCGGAUGUGAAAUCCCCGGGCUCAACCUGGGAACUGCAUUCGAAACUGGCAGGCUAGAGUCUUGUAGAGGGGGGUAGAAUUCCAGGUGUAGCGGUGAAAUGCGUAGAGAUCUGGAGGAAUACCGGUGGCGAAGGCGGCCCCCUGGACAAAGACUGACGCUCAGGUGCGAAAGCGUGGGGAGCAAACAGGAUUAGAUACCCGUGUAGUC
This 465-nucleotide ribosomal RNA is filed under the name uncultured Klebsiella sp. Its description in RNAcentral is "bacterial SSU rRNA". It matches the Rfam family "Bacterial small subunit ribosomal RNA", at positions 338 to 795 of the family's 1533-position model. The record is from RNAcentral. Lineage: Bacteria; Pseudomonadati; Pseudomonadota; Gammaproteobacteria; Enterobacterales; Enterobacteriaceae.